Oryctolagus cuniculus (rabbit) is the source of this 6536-nucleotide non-coding RNA. Lineage: Eukaryota; Metazoa; Chordata; Mammalia; Lagomorpha; Leporidae. The record is from RefSeq and is a predicted model, not a curated record.
CGUGCCUGGCAACAGAGGAGUUCAGAGGACACUUAUGAAAUCUAUGUGCUCCCGGGGCAGUGGGAAAAGGCGAUGGCGGUGCAUUCCAAAGGGGGCCUGCGGGAAUACCUUUGAAAAGCAACCGGGACAGCACAAGACCCCAGGAAGCUAUUUCAUCUGCUCCAGCCUGCGCUAAGGGCGACUUGGAGGCGGACCUCUGAUCUCCCGGUUCCACUUCACUGAGCACUCUGCACGGCGGCUGUCAUCUGCAGACACUGAAGAGUAUCCCUGAUUUUCAAGCCAUCAGCAAAAUCCUCCAGCACCCACAGAUGGAGCCAGUGUGUGGAACUGGUUUUAUGGCCUCUGGAGAAACAUGGCGGUCCCUAAGUUUAACUCUGCUGAGCCUGGAGUCCGGCAAGCCAGAAGGGCAAGGUAAGGCUACAACCACACUUGACUGAUUCAGAGAAAAAAGAGAGCACCAAAGAGAACAUUUGAUAUUUUCCACCAAGAAAAUUACUUUGGAUUUAUAUAAAGAGAAACAAUUAGGUGAAUCUCAGUCUCACACAAUAUUUUUCUCUGGCUUUCUUAUAUUUCCUCAACUGUGUAGUAAGUGUACUGAGAAUGCAGACAUCACUCACACCCAUCCCCAACACAUACCACAGAAGGAUCUCAGUAUUAUCCCAGAGUCAAAGUAAAAUAGCUAUGGAGUUUUAUUCUGGAUAGUGAGAAAUUUCUAAAACUAAGAGAAGAUUUUCAAAAGCAAUGUAACCUCUGGACCUGAACACUGAAAGUCUCCUUAGGCACAAACCAACCAUACAACUACAUUUUGGGUUAGUUAACAAAUAAGGCAAAAUACAGGUAAGCUCAUCAAAGAUGGCUCUGGGACGUUCUGCCAUCAGUUAAGAGGAGCCUCAUCACAGACCAGUGAACUUGAGAGUGAAUCAUUCAUGAUUCUAUUACUUAUAAGAAUUUAAAUCAAGUCUUGCUACUUUUUGUUCCCAACAUGUAACAGGCCUUCAAGCAAAUGUGUCACUGGUGUUCCUGGUAAAUAGUUAACUACACUUAACCUAGAAGACAAUUCCCAAGAAUAUUCAUUGGCAAGCACCAGUCAUCUUUUGAAACAGCACACACAAAUGCAGAAAAUAAGCUGUGCUCCAUGAACACCCACUGAUAGCCCACAGCUGAUACCAUGUCACAAACAUGCAGAUAGAGUUGAUGAAAAAUGAGGGACAAUCAAGUAAAUGAGUGAAAUGGCAGCCACCACACAUAACCUCAACUGUUGGGGACAAUGAGAAAGAUACAGUGAAGGCAGACAAGGGGGAAAAGAGUAGGAAGCCUCUUCUCAUGAAGACAAAAAUCACAAACCACUGCAGCCCUUUUCAUUCAGGAGAAACGGAUUGUCCACUGGUUCCAUUUUUUAAACAGUGCCAGGGUGAGUAUGUGGUAGGCUGCAGGAGGAAGAUGGCAGGAGAAUUGUGCACUCCCUGGUAGGACAUUUAAAAGGAGAGGAGACAUGUCCAUGCAGCUUCCAGUCUUCACCACCAGUCACAGCUGCCACUUGGACGGCAAGCUGCAGAUCUCCAUUUGGAUGAAUGCAACCUUGAAUGACCCGACUAGUUUGGCCAAGGAAGCCUACCUAGAAGCUAGAAGGAGGGCACACACUUCAGUUUUGCGAUUGUUUUUAUGAAUAUGAAAACACCCGGGUACCAAGUUAAGGAGAUUGGUAGCACCGUUAAUGGCAGGAAGUCACAAAAGUUCCAAGUGAGAGAUUAUUUAGAAGUAGCCAUUACCCCUCCAAACUAGACACCACUCCCUUCAGGAUGCAUGAGACCGUAUUAAAUUCUACUUCAGUAUUUCUCGAAUUAUUUUUCAAUAAGUUAGGUAAAAUAAAUAUUCAGAUUUUUUUUCCUCCCUUUAUUAUUGCCAUUAAGCCUUUAAGUUUUACAUACAUUUUAAUGUAACUGAUUAGGGUACUUGGAUGUGCUAUGAUAUAUGAAUAACAAUAUAAAGUUUUUAUGUUUCAAGCCCUUCCAUAGUUAUCAAAGAAAAAUGCGUUCAUUCAAAAUGAAGAUGUCAUAUCGAUUAAAACAUUAAAUAGGGUCUAGCCUGUGGCAUAGCAAGUAAAACCGCUACCUGCAACACCGGCAUUCCAUAAGGGUGUCAGUUAGUGUCCUGGCUGCUCCACUUCUGAUCUAGCUCCCCAUUAAUGGCAUGGGGAAAGCAGAAGAUGGUCCAAGUACUUGGGUCUUUGCCACCCAUGUGGGAGACCUGGAAGAAACUUCUGGUUCCUGGCUUUUUCCUGGCCCAGCGUUGGCCACUGAGGCCAUAUGGGGAGUAAACAAGCAGAUGGAAGAUUUCUCUCUGUGUGUGACUGACUUUCAAAUAAAUAAAUAACAAAAAAAAAUAAAACAAGAAAUUGGAAGAGACUCAUGGCAGGGGACAAGGGAUACUGCAUCACUCUUACAAUGUGGACUUGAAACAGUCUUGAACAUUCAGGGGUUCCGUCUUAUACUAACUGGAGACCUUGCCUUAGACGGUAAGGUUACAACAAACUAGCCAUCAAAGAAGGCUAAAAGAAGCCUUAGUUCGUUUUACCCCACAAGGCACAAGUGGAUCAGUUCUUCCAAACUCAUCUGCCGGCCUACAUUAGAUACUGUAAUCCAUUAGUUUACUAAUAAAAUCCCUCUAGGUUAUAAUUAAUAGGAGCAACCAACCUGGGAAAACUUCAAGGAGUUGUGUAAGUGAAGUAAAUUAAAUGCCGAGGUGACAGGGGGAAUGGAAAUUGUUGGAGAUGAAGGUUAUUUUUUUUCCUUCCUCCCCAGGCCCAACAAGAAUGUACUAAUCAUCCUCUGGCCUUUCCCUCCCCCACCUGUCUUCUACAAACUAAUCUCAACCCCAACCCACACAUAGAUGAAACAUGGCGCCACCUAUUGGCAGUCACUGGUACAUGAAUGAGAUUACACUUAACAUAAUCCUGAGAAUAUAUACAUAUAUAAAUACACACGAGUUUUUAAGAUCAGAUUGUCUCACCCAGUACUAGUGCCAAAAAUCAGUUAAUUUAUACUGUUUACUUUUCAUGGGCUGCAGAGUGACUUAAAAGGACCACUUACACUAUAAAUAUGUGACGAGAAUAAAUAAAUGCUUGAGAAAGAUAAUGCUAUACCAAUGAAACAAUUAAUUGGCAGGGUAUAGGAGACGGUAGAAUAGAUACUAAAACACAGUCAACAGGCCAAUUUCAGAGAGACCAAGCUAUGUAUCUUCACCUCUGGGGGAGUUCAUUUUCUUGUCUAGAAACAAGGGGAUGUAAGCUCUAGCAGGGAGAAUCAGGGAUUUUCCUAAGUACAGUGAACAGUGUUGUUCAGGCUAAGAAAUGAUCAUGCCCCCAGGUGGUCCCCAUGUGUGUUGUCACGGCCUAAUCUUACAAGAAUGGCUAUUAAUUAAGAUCUCCCAAAAGUAGCUUGGCAUUUGGGAAUAAAGUUAGAGAAUGUAGGAAAAAAAAAAAAAAAACUGGGCCCAGUGCUGUUAUACAGUGGGUUAAGCCACUGUCUGCAGUGCCAGCAUCCCAUAGGAGAGCCAGGCCAUGUCCCAGCUGCUUGAUUUCCAAUCCGGCUCCCUGCUAAUGUGCCUGGGAAAGGAGUGGGAGAUGGCCCACAUACUUGGGCCUCUGCAGCAUGUGAAAGAUUUUGAUGGGGCUCUGGGCUCCUGGCUUUGGCCUGGCCCAGCCCUGGGCAUUGCUGCCAUUAUGGAAGUGAACCACUGGUUGAAAGAUUCUCUCCCCCUGUCACUGUGACACUCAAAUAAAUAAGUAAAUACAUUUGUUAAAAAAUCAAGGAAAAGAAGUUGUGCAUCCCAUACCAGCAAUUUUGUUGUUUUGUUUUGGAGAAUAGAAGUGAAAUUUUAUUUAUGUGAGAAGAUGUGAAGAUCUGAACAGCAAGGUAAGGACCUGGUAGAAACAGAGACCAAGCCCUUAUUCAGGCAACUGUGAUGGAACUCACUUUCACUUGCUCAAGACAAAUGUCAAAUUCACCAAUGAUCAGUUACUUAGUGCAGCUCUGUAGCCAAAGGACUGUCAUUAACCAGUCAUGAUUUCCAAAGAACUAGUAGUCAAUCUGAAUUUGAAGUCAUGAAACAGCGCAUUUGCAGGGGAGCUUCCAUGGUCCCUAGAUGAUCCUGAUCUGGAAGAGCUGUUAUCCGAGAUCCAAGGGAGAGCUCCAGAAACGUUUAGUAACGAGGACAACAGUAACGAAGCAAACCACAAAGGCUGCAGGCACACGCACAAUCAGGGAGAAUGUUAUCCGUCAGUCUGAACACAUGCCAGCGCCCUGAAGUGCGCAGAGGAAAACUGUAGGAUGGGCAUGUAUCGUAUGACACUUCAACAUCAAAUCAACCAUCAUUCCAGGAGCACCACUGCACGGAGUGCUUGUAGAAAUGCAGCCAGCCCACGAGCAGAUGUGCACUCUCCCUGCGCAAACAAUACAAGUAACUCUUCAGGAGAGUGAUCACUCAACGCCACGUGCACUAACUUGAUCGUUCCGUCAUCAGAUGGCACUGCAAAUUUCAUUACAUAUUUUAAAUCAUGUUAACAUGGUUUGUUAACACUGGUAUUCACUAAAAAGGCCACAACUAUUUAAAUAAUAAAUGAGCAUGCUAAUUUUUAUAUACAUUAUGAAAGUGACAUGUGUAAAUAUUCUACAUAUUUUCUUCUUAAAACCUGACUUUCAGCAUUAGCUAAGAGUCAUCAGUGAAAAGACUCAUCAAGAUGUUUUACAGACUCACAAAUGUACUCCUUAUUUAGAGAAGUAAACAGCAUAUCUAAGGAACAAUUCUUCAUGUUAAAACAGUGUACCUUACUAGUCUAUCAGAUACUGUUAAGGCAAGAAUUUAAUCCUCUGCUUAAAAGAGACAGGAAGACCCAUGCUGCUCUGAGCUGGGAACCGAGGAAGUUUCUUCACUGAUCAGAGCCAGCCCUCUGAGGUCGUGCUGUUCCUUCUCCCACAUUCACCCUCCAUCUUGUUCUGCAAGCGUAAUCCUAGGCAGUUUGUGAGCACACACCCCGGGGCUGCCACCCACUGCUUCUGUGCCUCUGCAUCUGCCGCCAGUGGGUCCCACAUGCCGAGGACUUUUUCUCCCCCACACUCCCUGCUUUGCUCCCCGAGUGUCCUGAAGAAAGGGGAUGUGCCCUGGGGACUCUCCACAGAAGCUGGCAGGUUUGGAGACCAGGGAAAGAGUAUCUGUCUUCUGCUCAGUUUGCUGAGCUGCUUGGAGGCUGUAAGGGAUGUUUGUGAGCAGGAAAAGUCAGGUUGGAGGUGUCAGAGAAGGCAACGUAGAACUUAAGUAUAGAGGGAAUAACUGCAGGACCAUAUUCAUGGGUAAGUUUGCUAAGAAAACCAAAACAUGCAAUCAACCUAAAUGCCCGUCAACUGAAGACUGAAGAAAUUAUGGCAUAUGUACUCUAUGGAAUACAACACAACUGUAAAAAAAAAAAAUGAAAUCCAGUCAUUUGCAACAAAAUGGAUCAAUCUGGAAAACAUCACACUUAGUGAAAUAAGCCAGUCCCCAAAGGACAAACACCGUAUGUUCUCCCUGAUCUCUGAUGACCAAUAGAGCACCUAAAAGGAAAUCUGUAGAAAUUAAAUUGACACACUGAGAAGCAAUGACUUGACUGUUGAGCAACAGUUUUCUUUUCUCUUCAUACUAUUUGUAUCUCAGUGAAAAAAAAAAAAGAGAAGGAGGAGUAAGUUUAUAACUGUAAAGCUGUAUAGUUCUGCAUACAUUUCUACGGACUUACUUCUAAGAGUAAAUUUAAAAACUUGCAUGGAACCCCAAAUCCCAUUAGGCUGGGUGAUAAAAAUGUCAUCUUAAGUGUGUUAAAAUGAUAUUAAGUGUUAAAGUGAUCAUACAGAUAGGAUUAAGUGUUAAAGGGAUCAUAUAAAUAAGAUCAAGUAACUGGUAACAACAAUACAAUUAAAAAGGAAAAAAUGUUCCAACAUGGGAAGCAGUCCACACAGCAGACUCAUAGAAUGACAAUGGCUUUAAAUAACACUCUGACCUCAGAAUCAGCCCUUAAGGCAUUCUGGUCUGGCUGAAAAGCCCAUGAGAGCAUUUCAGGCACGGACAGCCAAGACACUGUGGUAAAAAAAAAAAAAAUGUCAUACAGGAAGGAUCUCUGUGACUGAGACCCCAGUGGAAAGAAGUGGCCAUCAAAGGAUGAACUUUCCUUGAAGGGAGGAGAGAACUUCCACUUUGUUUAUGGCUUUGUCUAAAUACUGAUGCAGAUUGUGGACUCAAAAGGCUUCCACAGCUUUUGGCAGCUCAUGUCAUACACACAUAUGAAUGUUAAUUGUUAAAUUAAAAACAGGAGUCACUGUGCACUUCUCAUGCAGGACUUCUGUCCUCAAUGAGUUCUAUUAUGAGAAUUAACCACAAAACCUGUUCUCAGUUUGUGUGUGUGUACAAAUUGUUGAAAUCCUUACUCAGUACAGAGUUGGUCUCCUGUGUAUAAAGUUAAUUGAAAAUUAAUCUUAAUAGAGAAUAGGACUGGGAAUGGGAGAGGAAGA